This 667-nucleotide ribosomal RNA is filed under the name uncultured bacterium. Its description in RNAcentral is "bacterial SSU rRNA". It matches the Rfam family "Bacterial small subunit ribosomal RNA", at positions 108 to 760 of the family's 1533-position model. The record is from RNAcentral.
GAGUAACACGUGGGUAACCUGCCCAUAAGACUGGGAUAACUCCGGGAAACCGGGGCUAAUACCGGAUAACAUUUUGAACUGCAUGGUUCGAAAUUGAAAGGCGGCUUCGGCUGUCACUUAUGGAUGGACCCGCGUCGCAUUAGCUAGUUGGUGAGGUAACGGCUCACCAAGGCAACGAUGCGUAGCCGACCUGAGAGGGUGAUCGGCCACACUGGGACUGAGACACGGCCCAGACUCCUACGGGAGGCAGCAGUAGGGAAUCUUCCGCAAUGGACGAAAGUCUGACGGAGCAACGCCGCGUGAGUGAUGAAGGCUUUCGGGUCGUAAAACUCUGUUGUUAGGGAAGAACAAGUGCUAGUUGAAUAAGCUGGCACCUUGACGGUACCUAACCAGAAAGCCACGGCUAACUACGUGCCAGCAGCCGCGGUAAUACGUAGGUGGCAAGCGUUAUCCGGAAUUAUUGGGCGUAAAGCGCGCGCAGGUGGUUUCUUAAGUCUGAUGUGAAAGCCCACGGCUCAACCGUGGAGGGUCAUUGGAAACUGGGAGACUUGAGUGCAGAAGAGGAAAGUGGAAUUCCAUGUGUAGCGGUGAAAUGCGUAGAGAUAUGGAGGAACACCAGUGGCGAAGGCGACUUUCUGGUCUGUAACUGACACUGAGGCGCGAAAGC